RNAcentral lists this unclassified non-coding RNA (331 nucleotides) under Hevea brasiliensis (rubber tree). The record is from RNAcentral. Lineage: Eukaryota; Viridiplantae; Streptophyta; Magnoliopsida; Malpighiales; Euphorbiaceae.
GUGGACAUACAUACAAACAAAGCUAGGUUUUAUUGCACUAGAGUACAUAUCCUCUGUUGUAAAAUUAUUGCUUUGUGGAGGGCAGGCUUUGAGAAAAGACAAAUGGAUACACAAGACAUUGAGUGUUCAUUGAUUAGAGAAACUGUAAAUGAAGAAGAGUCCAAGAACAAGAAAAAUGAAAUUUUUGAAGAAAUGAAGAGGUUAUUGGUACUAGCAGGACCUCUUAUGACAGUUAAUUUCUUACUUUAUUGUUUACAAGUGAUAUCUAUAAUGUUUGUUGGUCAUCUUGGAGAGUUACCUCUAUCUGGUGCUUCAAUGGCUACUUCAUUUG